AACUAUGUGCCAGCAGCCGCGGUGAUACAUAGGCUUCAAGCGUUGUCCGGAUUUAUUGGGCGUAAAGAGUUCGUAGGCGGUCGAGUAAGUCGGGUGUGAAAAUUCUGGGCUUAACCCAGAGACGCCACCCGAUACUGCUUAACUUGAGUUCGAUAGGGGAGUGGGGAAUUCCUAGUGUAGCGGUGAAAUGCGCGGAUAUUAGGAGGAACACCGGUGGCGAAGGCGCCACUCUGGAUCGAUACUUGACGCUGAGGAACGAAAGCAUGGGUAGCAAACAGGAUUAGAUACCCUGGUAGUCCAUGCCGUAAACGGUGGGCACUAGGUGUGGGAUUCUAUUAACGAAUUCCGCGCCGUCGCUAAUGCAUUAAGUGCCCCGCCUGGGGAGUACGGUCGCAAGACUAAAACUCAAGGAAUUGACGGGGGCCGCACAAGCAGCGGAGCGUGUUGCUUAAUUCGAUGCUACGCGAAAAACCUUACCUAGGUUUGACAUGUUUGGAAAAGCAGCGGAGAUGUUGUGUCCGCAAGGGCCAAACACAGGUGGUGCAUGGCUGUCGUCACUCGUGUCGUGAGAUGUUGGUUAAGUCCCGCAACGAGCGCAAGCCUUAUCCAUGUUGCCAGCAAGUAUGUUGGGACUCAUUGAGACUGCCGGGUUAACUCCGAGAAGUGGGAUGACGUCAAGUCUCAUGCCCUAUUGCUAGGCUGCAAACCGCUACAUG
This 716-nucleotide ribosomal RNA is filed under the name uncultured Actinomycetes bacterium. RNAcentral describes it as "bacterial SSU rRNA". It matches the Rfam family "Bacterial small subunit ribosomal RNA", at positions 499 to 1231 of the family's 1533-position model. Lineage: Bacteria; Bacillati; Actinomycetota; Actinomycetes. The record is from RNAcentral.